GAUGAACGCUGGCGGCGUGCCUAAUACAUGCAAGUCGAGCGAACGGACGAGAAGCUUGCUUCUCUGAUGUUAGCGGCGGACGGGUGAGUAACACGUGGAUAGCCUACCUAUAAGACUGGGAUAACUUCGGGAAACCGGAGCUAAUACCGGAUAAUAUUUUGAACCGCAUGGUUCAAAAGUGAAAGACGGUCUUGCUGUCACUUAUAGAUGGAUCCGCGCUGCAUUAGCUAGUUGGUAAGGUAACGGCUUACCAAGGCAACGAUGCAUAGCCGACCUGAGAGGGUGAUCGGCCACACUGGAACUGAGACACGGUCCAGACUCCUACGGGAGGCAGCAGUAGGGAAUCUUCCGCAAUGGGCGAAAGCCUGACGGAGCAACGCCGCGUGAGUGAUGAAGGUCUUCGGAUCGUAAAACUCUGUUAUUAGGGAAGAACGUAUGUGUAAGUAACUGUGCACAUCUUGACGGUACCUAAUCAGAAAGCCACGGCUAACUACGUG
RNAcentral lists this ribosomal RNA (497 nucleotides) under uncultured bacterium. Its description in RNAcentral is "partial 16S ribosomal RNA". It matches the Rfam family "Bacterial small subunit ribosomal RNA", at positions 28 to 507 of the family's 1533-position model. The record is from RNAcentral.